GGCCGAUGAUGUUAGAAAAUAUUUGCUACUCUUGAUGGAUUUUUAAAAAAAAAAUCCAUUUGAUGAUUUACAUAUCACCAAGAUCUCUGAGGUC
Molecule: non-coding RNA, 94 nt
Organism: Beta vulgaris subsp. vulgaris (sugar beet)
Lineage: Eukaryota; Viridiplantae; Streptophyta; Magnoliopsida; Caryophyllales; Amaranthaceae
Source: Rfam